Molecule: ribosomal RNA, 769 nt
Filed under: uncultured bacterium
Lineage: Bacteria
Description: bacterial SSU rRNA
Rfam family: Bacterial small subunit ribosomal RNA
Source: RNAcentral
GCAGUCGACGGCAGCACGGACUUCGGUCUGGUGGCGAGUGGCGAACGGGUGAGUAAUAUAUCGGAACGUGCCCAGUCGUGGGGGAUAACGUAGUGAAAAUUACGCUAAUACCGCAUACGAUCUAAGGAUGAAAGCGGGGGAUCGCAAGACCUCGCGCGAUUGGAGCGGCCGAUAUCAGAUUAGGUAGUUGGUGAGGUAAAGGCUCACCAAGCCAACGAUCUGUAGCUGGUCUGAGAGGACGACCAGCCACACUGGAACUGAGACACGGUCCAGACUCCUACGGGAGGCAGCAGUGGGGAAUUUUGGACAAUGGACGCAAGUCUGAUCCAGCCAUUCCGCGUGCAGGACGAAGGCCUUCGGGUUGUAAACUGCUUUUGUACAGAACGAAAAGGUCUCUAUUAAUACUAGGGGCUCAUGACGGUACUGUAAGAAUAAGCACCGGCUAACUACGUGCCAGCAGCCGCGGUAAUACGUAGGGUGCAAGCGUUAAUCGGAAUUACUGGGCGUAAAGCGUGCGCAGGCGGUUAUAUAAGACAGAUGUGAAAUCCCCGGGCUCAACCUGGGAACUGCAUUUGUGACUGUAUAGCUGGAGUGCGGCAGAAGGGGGGUGGAAUUCCACGUGUAGCAGUGAAAUGCGUAGAGAUGUGGAGGAACACCGAUGGCGAAGGCAGCCCCCUGGGUCGACACUGACGCUGAGGCACGAAAGCGUGGGUAGCAAACAGGAUUAGAUACCCUGGUAGUCCACGCCCUAACGAUGCCACUAGGUGUU